This 1356-nucleotide ribosomal RNA is filed under the name metagenome. RNAcentral describes it as "bacterial LSU rRNA". It matches the Rfam family "Bacterial large subunit ribosomal RNA", at positions 1579 to 2925 of the family's 2925-position model. The record is from RNAcentral.
UUGGUAAUCGUAAGAGUGAUCCUAUGCUGCCUAGAAAAGCUUCGUGAGCGAGAUAUUGGCCGCCCGUACCCCAAACCGACACAGGUGGAUAGGUAGAGAAUACUAAGGCGAUCGAGAUAACCAUGGUGAAGGAACUCGGCAAAAUACCCCCGUAACUUCGGAAUAAGGGGGACCUGAGACGUAUUAGAAUUUACUUCGAAAGCGUCGAGGGUCGCAGAGACCAGGCCCAAGCGACUGUUUACUAAAAACACAGGUCCGUGCUAAGUCGUAAGACGAUGUAUACGGACUGACUCCUGCCCGGUGCUGGAAGGUUAAGGGGAAGGGUUAGCUUCGGCGAAGCCUUGAACUUAAGCCCCAGUAAACGGCGGUGGUAACUAUAACCAUCCUAAGGUAGCGAAAUUCCUUGUCGGGUAAGUUCCGACCUGCACGGAUGGAGUAACGACUUGGGCGCUGUCUCCACCAUGGACUCGGCGAAAUUGCACUACGAGUAAAGAUGCUCGUUACGCGCAGCAGGACGGAAAGACCCCGGGACCUUCACUAUAGUUUGGUAUUGGUGAUCGGAGUGACUUGUGUAGGAUAGGUGGGAGACUUUGAAGCUUGGACGCCAGUUCAGGUGGAGUCAUCGUUGAAAUACCACUCUGGUCACUUUGGUUAUCUAACCUAGGUCCAUUAUCUGGAUCAGGGACAGUGCCUGAUGGGUAGUUUGACUGGGGCGGUCGCCUCCUAAAAGGUAACGGAGGCGCCCAAAGGUUCCCUCAGCCUGGUUGGCAAUCAGGUUUCGAGUGUAAGUGCACAAGGGAGCUUGACUGCGAGAGAGACAUCUCAAGCAGGGACGAAAGUCGGGACUAGUGAUCUUCUGGUGGCACAUGGAAGCGCCAGGACUCAACGGAUAAAAGGUACCCCGGGGAUAACAGGCUGAUCUUGCCCGAGCGUCCAUAGCGACGGCAUGGUUUGGCACCUCGAUGUCGGCUCGUCGCAUCCUGGGGCUGGAGUCGGUCCCAAGGGUUGGGCUGUUCGCCCAUUAAAGCGGCACGCGAGCUGGGUUUAGAACGUCGUGAGACAGUUCGGUCCCUAUCCGCUGCGCGCGUAGGAGUCUUGAGAAGAGCUGUCCUUAGUACGAGAGGACCGGGACGGACUAACCUCUGGUGUGCCAGUUGUUCUACCAAGAGCACGGCUGGUUGGCUACGUUGGGAAGUGAUAACCGCUGAAAGCAUCUAAGCGGGAAGCACGCUUCAAGAUGAGGGCUCCCACAGAAUAAUCUGGUAAGGCCCCCUAUAGACCAUGGGGUGAUAGGUCGGAUGUGGAAGUGCAGCAAUGCACGGAGCUGACCGAUACUAAUAGGCCGAGGGCUUGUUU